GGCAUACGGCUCAGUAACGCGUAGUCAACCUACCCUAUGGACGGGGAUAAUCUCGGGAAACUGAGCAUAAUACCCGGCAGACCACUUAUCCUGGAAUGGUUAGUGGUUAAAAUGAUUCGUCGCCAUAGGAUGGGACUGCGGCCUAUCAGCUUGUUGGUGAGGUAAUGGCCCACUAAGGCGAUUACAGGUACGGGCUCUGAGAGGAGAGGCCCGGAGAUGGGUACUGAGACAAGGACCCAGGCCCUAUGGGGCGCAGCAGGCGAGAAAACUUUGCAAUGUGCGAAAGCACGACAAGGCUAAUCCGAGUGAUUUCUGCUAAAGGAAUCUUUUGUUAGUUCUAAAAAUACUAGUGAAUAAGGGGUGGGCAAGUUCUGGUGUCAGCCGCCGCGGUAAAACCAGCACCUCAAGUGGUCAGGAGGAUUAUUGGGCCUAAAGCAUCCGUAGCCUGUUCUAUAAGCUUGCGGUUAAAUCUAUACGCUCAACGUAUAGGCUGCCGUAAAUACUGUAGAACUAGGGAGUGGGAGAGGUAGACGGUACUCGAUAGGAAGGGGUAAAAUCCUUUGAUCUAUUGAUGACCACCUGUGGCGAAGG
This 591-nucleotide ribosomal RNA is filed under the name uncultured archaeon. Its description in RNAcentral is "bacterial SSU rRNA". It matches the Rfam family "Archaeal small subunit ribosomal RNA", at positions 80 to 672 of the family's 1478-position model. The record is from RNAcentral.